Long non-coding RNA from Salvia miltiorrhiza (redroot sage), 917 nucleotides. RefSeq lists it as uncharacterized. Lineage: Eukaryota; Viridiplantae; Streptophyta; Magnoliopsida; Lamiales; Lamiaceae. The transcript is spliced from 5 exons. The record is from RefSeq and is a predicted model, not a curated record.
UACGGAAUGUCCGUAGCAAAAUCCGUAGCUAAGACCAAAUUUCAAAACUAAAGGUGCAGCCGCGGUUUUUCUUCUUCUCAUUUUCCCCUAAUUGCAAACCCUAGCGUUUCUCACUCUUUCGGCGCCGUUCAUCCCGUCGCCGCGGUUGCUCCGCCGUUUCCCUCAAAGUCGUCGGUGCCGCCACCGUGCUCGCUCACCGUCGCAGACGCCGGCAAUCUGGUUCUUUCAGAUAUUGGAUUAGCAGAGAAACGAGUUUAUCAUGCUGCUCUUAAUGACUUGGUCUUAACUGAUCAGAUUCAGCCCCCUUGCCUCCUCUUCACAACAUAACAGGUGGAGGUACAAGAAAUUGCUGCAGAGAUGGGCCAAUCUAAUCCUGAUACGCCCGUGGAUAUGAACAAGAUUUAUCUAGAUGUCUUGGGAGGCCCGUGGAUAUGAACAAGAUUUAUCUAGAUGUCUUGGGAGGCGGUUUAGAUAAAAAGCAAAGAUUGUUCGGCACAGGUAGUCUCGCAUUGACCUUGAAGACCAAUAUAUCGGGAGAGAGUAGUACUUCAGCUAUGUCCGACAUUGACAAAGAGCAGUAUGCCACUCGCCUAGGAGAUGUAGAGGAGCAGCUUCAAGAGGAGCGAGAAAGGACAUCUCGAUUAGAAGAACAUGUUAAAGUUGCAAUGGAGAUUAUCAAGCAGUUGCAAGAGCAAUCAAACAGUGCCACUAGCCAUCCAGAUCCACCAUCACAUGUUCCAUGAUUAUACAUGUGUUUUGAUUUUGAUAUCGACUAUCUCUAGGUGCUUGAUUUUGAAAUACUUGUUAGAUAUGUGAUUUUUAAACUAUUUUGGUUUGUGACUACUAUUUCUAGGUGUUUGGUUUUGAAAUACUUGUUAGACACGUGAUUUCUAAACUAUCUUGGUUUAUGACUUUGA